AAUCUAUUCAGAGGAACCUGUUCUGUAAUCGAUAGUCCACGAUUAAAAUUACUUAUUUUUAUAUUUGCAUAUCGCCGUAGAUAGAAUAUUUUUUUAGAAAAAUGAAUAUUCAAAAUUUAUAAGAUAAAAGAUUUCAGGUCAAGGUGUAGUUUAUAGAUAAGAAGAAAUGGGUUACAUUAAAUAUAUUUAGACGAAUUUAAAUUUUAAUAAUUUUUUGAAGGUGGAUUUGAUAGUAAUUUUAAAUAUAUAUAUUUAAAAUGAUUUUAGCUCUAAAAUAUGUACAUAUCGCCCGUCGCUUUCACUCUAAAGUGAAAUAAGUCGUAACAAAGUAGGUGUACUGGAAGGUGUCCCUGGAGGUAU
This 360-nucleotide ribosomal RNA is filed under the name Hadroplontus ancora. Its description in RNAcentral is "partial 12S ribosomal RNA". Lineage: Eukaryota; Metazoa; Arthropoda; Insecta; Coleoptera; Curculionidae. The record is from RNAcentral.